UACGUAGGGUGCGAGCGUUAAUCGGAAUUACUGGGCGCAAAGCGUGCGCAGGCGGUCUGUUAAGACCGAUGUGAAAUCCCCGGGCUUAACCUGGGAACUGCAUUGGUGACUGGCAGGCUUUGAGUGUGGCAGAGGGAGGUAGAAUUCCACGUGUAGCAGUGAAAUGCGUAGAGAUGUGGAGGAAUACCGAUGGCGAAGGCAGCCUCCUGGGCCAACACUGACGCUCAUGCACGAAAGCGUGGGGAGCAAACAGG
This 254-nucleotide ribosomal RNA is filed under the name uncultured bacterium. RNAcentral's name for it is "partial 16S ribosomal RNA". It matches the Rfam family "Bacterial small subunit ribosomal RNA", at positions 524 to 776 of the family's 1533-position model. The record is from RNAcentral.